RNAcentral lists this ribosomal RNA (253 nucleotides) under uncultured bacterium. RNAcentral describes it as "partial 16S ribosomal RNA". It matches the Rfam family "Bacterial small subunit ribosomal RNA", at positions 524 to 776 of the family's 1533-position model. The record is from RNAcentral.
UACGUAGGCAGCAAGCGUUGUUCGGAAUUACUGGGCGUAAAGAGUGUGUAGGCGGUGUUCUAAGUCUGUUGUGAAAUCUCCCGGCUUAACUGGGAGGGUGCGGCGGAAACUGGAAUGCUAGAGGAUGGGAGAGGUAAGCGGAAUUCCUGGUGUAGCGGUGAAAUGCGUAGAUAUCAGGAGGAACACCUGUGGUGUAGACAGCUUACUGGACCAUUUCUGACGCUGAGACGCGAAAGCGUGGGUAGCAAACAGG